AUUGAACGCUGGCGGCAGGCCUAACACAUGCAAGUCGAGCGGAUGAAGGGAGCUUGCUCCUGGCUUCAGCGGCGGACGGGUGAGUAAUGCCUAGGAAUCUGCCUGGUAGUGGGGGAUAACGUCCGGAAACGGGCGCUAAUACCGCAUACGUCCUGAGGGAGAAAGUGGGGGAUCUUCGGACCUCACGCUAUCAGAUGAGCCUAGGUCGGAUUAGCUAGUUGGUGGGGUAAAGGCCUACCAAGGCGACGAUCCGUAACUGGUCUGAGAGGAUGAUCAGUCACACUGGAACUGAGACACGGUCCAGACUCCUACGGGAGGCAGCAGUGGGGAAUAUUGGACAAUGGGCGAAAGCCUGAUCCAGCCAUGCCGCGUGUGUGAAGAAGGUCUUCGGAUUGUAAAGCACUUUAAGUUGGGAAGAAGGGCAGUAAGUGAAUACAUGGCUGUUUUGACGUUACCUACAGAAUAAGCACCGGCUAACUUCGUG
RNAcentral lists this ribosomal RNA (484 nucleotides) under uncultured bacterium. Its description in RNAcentral is "partial 16S ribosomal RNA". It matches the Rfam family "Bacterial small subunit ribosomal RNA", at positions 30 to 507 of the family's 1533-position model. The record is from RNAcentral.